This 253-nucleotide ribosomal RNA is filed under the name uncultured bacterium. Its description in RNAcentral is "partial 16S ribosomal RNA". It matches the Rfam family "Bacterial small subunit ribosomal RNA", at positions 524 to 776 of the family's 1533-position model. The record is from RNAcentral.
UACGGAGGGUGCAAGCGUUAUCCGGAUUUAUUGGGUUUAAAGGGUCCGUAGGCGGACUGUUAAGUCAGUGGUGAAAGCCCACAGCUCAACUGUGGAAUUGCCAUUGAUACUGGCAGUCUUGAGUGCAAAUGAUGUUGGCGGAAUGUGCAGUGUAGCGGUGAAAUGCUUAGAUAUUGCACAGAACACCUAUUGCGAAGGCAGCUGGCAAAUUUGCAACUGACGCUGAGGGACGAAAGCGUGGGGAUCAAACAGG